Molecule: long non-coding RNA, 211 nt
Filed under: Elaeis guineensis (African oil palm)
Lineage: Eukaryota; Viridiplantae; Streptophyta; Magnoliopsida; Arecales; Arecaceae
Description: long non-coding RNA (EGUI_LNC022003)
Source: RNAcentral
UUCAGAACGGAGGCCGUCAUCCCAAUUGAGCUUAAACUCCCGUCGGCAUGGGUCGUGGCAUUCAACGAACAUCAUAAUUCGCAAGGUCUUAAAGCCAACCUUGACUUGCUGGAAGAAAAGUGGGAGGUAGCUCAAGUUCGGAUGGCAGCCUACAGACAGAAAGUCGCCCGCUAUUACAAUUCUUGGGUCAAGAAUAAAGCCUUUAGAGCAG